UCAGCAACAGCCCAAUAUCUCUCUCUCUCUUUCUCUCUCUCUCUCUCUCUCUCUCUCUCAGUGUACCUAUGUUAAAAUAAACUCUGCGUUUAAGCUUAAAGUGGUACUUUGCCAUUCUUUGCUUACUGGAACCGAGAUUGCUGGUCCUGGCCUUCCGUUGACCUCCUCGGUUGAAGCUAUUUCGUUACAACGCACGUCCACCCGGUGACAAAAUUUCUGCUAAGGGACUGUACACAUCCUCUCCAUGUAGGCUGUUACCUACGCCACUCCACCUCCAUCCUUGCUUCCGUGCUUUGGGAGAAUUACUACCUCUCAAUGCUUACAGAGAUCUCAGGAGCAAAGGAAGAAUAGGACUUGACCAGCACUGAAUUCAACCUCAGUCAUAUUCCAAAAGAUGGAAAAGUAAUAAAGACACUCUUGCUGCCACGUGAACUAUGUUCUAUGACUCCAGAUCUAAGGGAUUUAUCCUCCUCCACAGUGCCUAUAAUAUCUUGAGGGAAAAGAGACAAACUGAUUCCUUAAUUCAAGGUCUUCUCCUGGUGUGUCCUGCGAAGUUUUCUGAAGCCCUACUCUUUUUGGUUUGAAUUGAGCGAUCUGACCUUAGCGCUGGAACCCCAAAACACUCCACCUGCAGACCCUGAUAAAGGUGUUUGUUCUAGGUCCUGUCUCCCACUCUGUCUGCACCCUGCCUUCACCUACCCUUGUGGCCUCUCAAGGCGUGUUGUGUACUUCCUCCAGGACCUG
This is a long non-coding RNA of Balaenoptera musculus (blue whale), 744 nucleotides long. RefSeq lists it as uncharacterized. The transcript is spliced from 4 exons. NCBI's taxonomy places the organism in Eukaryota, Metazoa, Chordata, Mammalia, Artiodactyla, Balaenopteridae. The record is from RefSeq and is a predicted model, not a curated record.